RNAcentral lists this ribosomal RNA (253 nucleotides) under uncultured bacterium. Its description in RNAcentral is "partial 16S ribosomal RNA". It matches the Rfam family "Bacterial small subunit ribosomal RNA", at positions 524 to 776 of the family's 1533-position model. The record is from RNAcentral.
UACGGAGGAUGCAAGCGUUAUCCGGAAUGAUUGGGCGUAAAGCGUCCGCAGGUGGCUGUGUAAGUCUGCUGUUAAAGAGUCUAGCUCAACUAGAUACAAGCAGUGGAAACUACACGGCUAGAGUACGUUCGGGGCAGAGGGAAUUCCUGGUGUAGCGGUGAAAUGCGUAGAGAUCAGGAAGAACACCAGUGGCGAAGGCGCUCUGCUAGGCCGUAACUGACACUGAGGGACGAAAGCUAGGGGAGCGAAUGGG